GAAGCGGCAACAGCUCAAAUUUGAAAUCUGACCCUUUGGGGUCCGAGUUGUAAUUUGCAGAGGGUGUUUCGGGCACGGUGCCGGUUUAAGUCCUUUGGAACAGGGUGUCAUAGAGGGUGAGAACCCCGUAUGCGACCGGUCGCCAAACCCGUGUGAAACCCCUUCGACGAGUCGAGUUGUUUGGGAAUGCAGCUCAAAAUGGGUGGUAAAUUUCAUCUAAAGCUAAAUACUGGCCAGAGACCGAUAGCGCACAAGUAGAGUGAUCGAAAGAUGAAAAGCACUUUGGAAAGAGAGUCAAACAGCACGUGAAAUUGUUGAAAGGGAAGCGCUUGCGACCAGACCUGCUCGCGGGUGAUCAGCGGUGCUUUUCGCGCCGUGCACUCGUCCGCGAUCAGGCCAGCAUCGGUUCAGGCGGCCGGACAAAGACUCGGAGAAUGUAGCUCCCUCCGGGGAGUGUUAUAGCUCCUUGUGCAAUACGGCCAGCCGGGACCGAGGACCGCGCU
Molecule: ribosomal RNA, 503 nt
Filed under: Psora decipiens
Lineage: Eukaryota; Fungi; Ascomycota; Lecanoromycetes; Lecanorales; Psoraceae
Description: LSU rRNA
Rfam family: Eukaryotic large subunit ribosomal RNA
Source: RNAcentral